AAGUCGUAACAAGGUUUCCGUAGGUGAACCUGCGGAAGGAUCAUUCUUGAUAAUGUAGUUUAUUCUAUCAUUAUAUAUGUGCACUGUUAACGCCAGUUGGCGGCCGCAAAGUCGUCAAUUGGCCUCAAUUUUAUUAUUUACUAAUAACUUUUUAUUCCAGUAACCAUUAAAAUCUUAUGACAACUUUUAGCAAUGGAUCUCUAGGCUCUC
This 210-nucleotide unclassified non-coding RNA is filed under the name fungal sp. RNAcentral's name for it is "partial internal transcribed spacer region". The stretch from base 1 to 46 matches the Rfam family "Eukaryotic small subunit ribosomal RNA", at positions 1786 to 1831 of the family's 1831-position model. Lineage: Eukaryota; Fungi. The record is from RNAcentral.